CCCUUGAGUUUGAUCCUGGCUCAGGACGAACGCUGGCGGCGUGCCUAACACAUGCAAGUGGAGCGACGAACCGGGCUUCGGCCCGGGGCAAAGCCGCGAACGGGUGAGUAACACGUGGGUAACCUGCCCUGAUGAUUGGGACAACCCGAGGAAACUCGGGCUAAUACCGAAUGUGCCCUCCGGCCGUAAGGCCGCUGGGGAAAGGAAGCUUCGGCCUCCGCAUCGGGAUGGGCCCGCGGCCCAUUAGCUUGUUGGUGAGGUAACGGCUCACCAAGGCGACGAUGGGUAGCUGGUCUGAGAGGACGAUCAGCCACACUGGGACUGAGACACGGCCCAGACUCCUACGGGAGGCAGCAGUGGGGAAUCUUGCGCAAUGCGCGAAAGCGUGACGCAGCAACGCCGCGUGGGGGAAGACGGCCUUCGGGUUGUAAACCCCUUUCAGUUGGGACGAAGCUCCGUCGGUGAAUAGCCGGCUGGAGUGACGGUACCUUCAGAAGAAGCCCCGGCUAACUACGUGCCAGCAGCCGCGGUAAUACGUAGGGGGCAAGCGUUGUCCGGAAUCAUUGGGCGUAAAGAGCGUGUAGGCGGCUCGGUAAGUCCGCUGUGAAAGUCCAGGGCUCAACCCUGGAAUGCCGGUGGAAACUGU
RNAcentral lists this ribosomal RNA (646 nucleotides) under uncultured bacterium. RNAcentral describes it as "bacterial SSU rRNA". It matches the Rfam family "Bacterial small subunit ribosomal RNA", at positions 1 to 636 of the family's 1533-position model. The record is from RNAcentral.